Molecule: transfer RNA, 73 nt
Filed under: Retroculus lapidifer
Lineage: Eukaryota; Metazoa; Chordata; Actinopteri; Cichliformes; Cichlidae
Description: tRNA-Trp
Rfam family: tRNA
About the family: Transfer RNA (tRNA) molecules are approximately 80 nucleotides in length. Their secondary structure includes four short double-helical elements and three loops (D, anti-codon, and T loops).
Source: RNAcentral
AGAGGCUUAGGAUAGUAUAAUAGACCAAGGGCCUUCAAAGCCCUAAGCGAGAGUGAAAAUCUCCCAGCCUCUG